RNAcentral lists this ribosomal RNA (408 nucleotides) under uncultured bacterium. RNAcentral's name for it is "partial 16S ribosomal RNA". It matches the Rfam family "Bacterial small subunit ribosomal RNA", at positions 29 to 526 of the family's 1533-position model. The record is from RNAcentral.
AGUGAACGCUGGCGGCGUGCCUAAUACAUGCAAGUCGAACGGAGUGGCGCACGGGUGAGUAAUGUAUAGCUAAUCUGCCCUACACUAGAGGACAACAGUUGGAAACGGCUGCUAAUACUCUAUAGUGUAGGAUGAGGCUAUAUUGUAUCAGCUAGUUGGUGAGGUAAUGGCUCACCAAGGGUAUGACGCAUAACUGGUCUGAGAGGAUGAUCAGUAAAACUCGAACGGAGGCACGGUCCAGGAUCCUUCGAGAAGCAGCGGUAGGGAGUAUUACUCAAUGGGGGAAACCCAGAAGCAGCAUCGGCGCGUAGAGGAUGACAAUUUGCGGAGCAUAAAAGCCUUUUGUUAGGGAAGCGGUACCUAACGAAUAAGCACCGGCUAACUCCGUGCCAGCAGCCGCGGUAAUAC